Molecule: RNA transcript, 2378 nt
Organism: Ricinus communis (castor bean)
Lineage: Eukaryota; Viridiplantae; Streptophyta; Magnoliopsida; Malpighiales; Euphorbiaceae
Exons: 5
Source: RefSeq, a predicted model, not a curated record
AGCCUGAUGAAUUUGAACUCCAUGGCGUCAUUUGUUUGGGGUUGGGCGGCCUUUUGCCAGCUGUACCGCUUCAUGGAUCAUAGUUGUCGUGGUGGUGCGAGGGUUGGCGGUUUCGCUAACUUGCUCCUAAUCUGGGCGCAUGAGUACCACCUGCUACAGAUUAGUGCUCCUGCUAGCGCCAAGACAUACCCUUUUAUGGACCAUUGUGUAAAUGCAUGGUUAGAGUUAGAGAGCUCCUAUCAACUGGAUCAAUAUCGAUAGCGGUUGAACACGGUCACCUAGAUAGAGGUGUGGAUGGACCCGUGGGGUAAGUUCGCCAUCUGGUCUACCACCAUGGUAGAUGCGACAGCCUUUGACGAGUGUCACUUCUUGAUGGAGAGCUCUAUGUACCGGCACUAGUACUUUGGCAACCGGAUAUGCGAUUGGAGAGUUGGACUAGGUGCUAAGCUUAUGCUAUUCCCAUUGCCGCAUCUUGGGACAGUCAUCACGCCAGGGAGGCUGGCUGAUAUGCUGCUAGAGGAGGUCCCAGCAGUCUCCUAUUUUGAGGGAGCAGGGAGUUUGGAGGUCUCUUACAUUGAUUUUGUUGCGCUCCUACCCUUCAGGUGGGUUAGUCCGAGUGGAGAUGUGCCGACUGGUGGGACGCCACCACCGACGGAGGGAAGCCGAAAGAGGGCGCAGCCCAGGCGUGAGUUCACUUGCUGCUCUUACUGCACCGUCACUGCACAUGGUGAUCAGAGAUUUUUUCUCCCCUCACUCGGUGAUCAUUUCUAUGCCUCGGGGCGGGCGCAUCGCCUCCGUUCCAUGAUAAUAGGUGGACCAGUCGUACCGGAUCACGAAGGGGUUUUGGGCGCUCGCCUUGGGUUGGCAUGCGGACUAUCAGGUGCGUCUAUUAUGAAUAUCAUGAAUGUUAUGUAUAUAUGUUUGAUAUGUGAAUGUUUGCUAAUUGUAAUUUUUUUUGCUGCUUUGGACGGAGCACCAUCUUCAAGAGAGAGGGAAGCUAAGAGCACCCGUAUCACCGAGAUGUGGUGUGUGAAUAACGAUGCUGAGGACUUCCAUAACAUCUUCCCUGCCACAUUCGUCCGAUCUGAGUGCCUGCAAGGAUGCCCAAACCACUUUGCACUGGCCCCAAAUCCCAUUAUCUGUCCAUUAUGGCACUGAGCUUGUGUCAGGUUAGCCUAAGCUCGCAUAAAGAUAAGGUUGAGCUUGCACGAGGUCGAUUUGGGUGCUCAUUUCCUACAUAACCUUUGGGUGACUUCCUCUAUUUAGCCAUCUCUUUCUCUUACCAUGAGUGAGGCUUCCGAAGACCUUUUGCUCCCUCUAUUGAAGCGAUUCAAGAAAAGUUCAUGGGCCUUACUACAACUGCCACUCGCCAGCCUGAGAUAUCUCCGGGAUGUCUGCCUGUAUCUCCCUUUUCUCCAUGUGGCUGUCAACCUUUAGGAUCUUGAGGCUUAUGUAUUUCAGUUUGGCAUUUUGGAAGUAUGCCUUCUGUUUGAGGAGUUCUCAUCCAUCCUUAGCUUUUACCUGAAGUCAACUGACGAGUUGAUGUUAGCCCCUUUGGAGGUUUCCUUGCUGCAUGAGAUCUCAAGUUCUUUUUUUCUUUGGGAAUAUCCAUCAUUCGGGCGCAUCUCAGGGGCCCGGCCUCGAGCUCUCUUCCUUUAUCGGACUCAUGAGUCAGCUUGCCCCAAAUUCUUGCACAUGUCUCUAUGUCUUGCAAUUAGGUCUGAUGGCUCAAUUCCUAUUUGCUCAAGAUGACGGGCUCAAAGGUUUGAAACUAAUUCUUGUCCUUGCCCAAAUGUGCACCUCAUCAACCAUUGCCCCGCUCGUGUUGGCGGAUAAACUGACUGGGUUAGAUCGGGUUAAGAGGGGUGAGAGUGGUUAGUUCAGCGGUAGCCCGAUUGUAUUGUAGGUCAGUGACCAUAUCAAAGACGACACUCUAGGCACACCGAGCUCUAAUCAAAGCAUACAACACAAAGUAUUAACAAUUACCAAGUUCUUACACUUUGGAAAAUAUUAUUCAGUAGAUUUGGCGAUGUUGACUGAAGCAGUUGUGCAAUGCCAAUUGAAGCAAUAGUUGUGCGACAGUGACUGAAGCAGUAGCUUCUGGUGACGGCAACUGAAGCAGCAGCGGCGAAUGAAGCAGCAACACCGGGCGACAUCAUCGACUGAAGUACUGUGCGAUGGUGACUGAAGCAUCAGCAUUGAUUCUCCAAUUUUUUGGUUUUUUUCUUUUUGAUUUGUUUUAGAAAAUAAACUGACAUAGUGGUGGAUAUAGUUGUGGAUAUAGUUGUGGCUUUGAUGAUGAUGGCAAUUUUUUAGUUCUUUUUUUCUUUACGAUUUGUAUUAUUCUAGUUAUUAAUGGUUAUUUCUUUUGUUGAUGA